Molecule: ribosomal RNA, 469 nt
Filed under: uncultured Actinomycetes bacterium
Lineage: Bacteria; Bacillati; Actinomycetota; Actinomycetes
Description: bacterial SSU rRNA
Rfam family: Bacterial small subunit ribosomal RNA
Source: RNAcentral
CUGGGCUAGACAACGGCGGACCGUCCUAGAAAUAGGACUUUACCUUCGGGGACUGCCGGUUCAGGUGCUGCAUGGCUGUCGUCAGCUCGUGCCGUGAGGUGUUGGGUUAAGUCCCGCAACGAGCGCAACCCUCGUCCUUAGUUGCCACCAUUCAGUUGGGCACUCUAGGGAGACUGCCGGCGUUAAGCCGGAGGAAGGUGGGGACGACGUCAAGUCAUCAUGGCCUUAUGUCCAGGGCCACACACGUGCUACAAUGGGCGGUACAAAGGGUCGCGAACCCGCGAGGGGGAGCCAAUCCCAAAAAGCCGCUCUCAGUUCGGAUUGGAGUCUGCAACUCGACUCCAUGAAGUUGGAAUCGCUAGUAAUCGCGGAUCAGAACGCCGCGGUGAAUACGUUCCCGGGCCUUGUACACACCGCCCGUCACACCAUGGAAGCCAGCUGUACCGGAAGUCGGUGAUUUAACCCGCAA